UGGGGAAUAUUGCACAAUGGGCGCAAGCCUGAUGCAGCCAUGCCGCGUGUGUGAAGAAGGCCUUCGGGUUGUAAAGCACUUUCAGCGGGGAGGAAGGCGGUGAGGUUAAUAACCUCAUCGAUUGACGUUACCCGCAGAAGAAGCACCGGCUAACUCCGUGCCAGCAGCCGCGGUAAUACGGAGGGUGCAAGCGUUAAUCGGAAUUACUGGGCGUAAAGCGCACGCAGGCGGUCUGUCAAGUCGGAUGUGAAAUCCCCGGGCUCAACCUGGGAACUGCAUUCGAAACUGGAAGGCUAGAGUCUUGUAGAGGGGGGUAGAAUUCCAGGUGUAGCGGUGAAAUGCGUAGAGAUCUGGAGGAAUACCGGUGGCGAAGGCGGCCCCCUGGACAAAGACUGACGCUCAGGUGCGAAAGCGUGGGGAGCAAACAGG
Molecule: ribosomal RNA, 429 nt
Filed under: Chloroflexota bacterium
Lineage: Bacteria; Bacillati; Chloroflexota
Description: Chloroflexi bacterium partial 16S ribosomal RNA
Rfam family: Bacterial small subunit ribosomal RNA
Source: RNAcentral